Molecule: RNA transcript, 1662 nt
Organism: Ziziphus jujuba (common jujube)
Lineage: Eukaryota; Viridiplantae; Streptophyta; Magnoliopsida; Rosales; Rhamnaceae
Gene name: zinc finger CCCH domain-containing protein 25
Exons: 5
Source: RefSeq, a predicted model, not a curated record
AUACUGGUCUCAAGCUUACAGAAUUCGAAGACGGUGACAGGAAGGGACGAAGAAGAACGCAACAGAGAGAGAGAGAGAGAGAUGAAUCCACUAACCCUAGUGAAACGGAUACAGAACAUAAAUUCGAAAGAAGCGGCUUUAGGGAUCUCAGAUGAAGCAUCAUGGCAUGCCAAGUACAAAGACUCCGCUUAUGUCUUCGUCGGCGGUAUUCCCUUCGAUCUCACCGAAGGCGAUCUUCUUGCCGUCUUCGCUCAAUACGGAGAAGUUGUGGACGUUAAUCUUGUUAGAGACAAAGGGACUGGUAAAUCCAAAGGUUUUGCUUUCGUUGCUUAUGAGGAUCAGCGAAGUACGAAUCUUGCUGUAGGUUUGUGUCUCUUGCUUUUCCCUUCCUUGUAUAACUUGAAUGGAGCUCAGAUAUUAGGCAGAAUUAUUAGAGUUGAUCAUGUCAGCAAGUACAAGAAGAAAGAAGAAGAAGACGAAGAAACGGAGCAGAGGAAGAGGGAGGAACGGGGUGUGUGCCGUGCUUUUCAGAGAGGAGAAUGUACUCGUGGAGCUGGAUGCAAAUUUUCUCAUAAUGAGCAAAGAGCUGCAAACACAGGAUGGGGCCAUGAUGACAAAGAACCAAGGUGGGGACAUGACAAAUUUGACGGUCCAAAAAUGGGUGAUAGAAGAUCUGGCAACUUACCAUCAAAUAAUGUUCCAGAGCAUCCAGCAAAAGGAGGUUUUAGCAUUGGUAAUAAAGAUUCAAGCUUUAAAGCAAGGGGCAAUGGAGCAUUGGAAAGCCAAUCCAAGCAGAUUGAUACGAGAGAUGAAAAGAGAUUAGGAAGUUAUGGCAACACUGAUGACUUUGAUCGGAGGAGUAGAGAUCAUGAUACAAGGGAAGGAAAAAGAUCUAGGAGGCACAUUGAUGAUGAAUUUCAGCCAAAAUCCAGAGAAGAUCAUGAUAGGAGAGAUGAGAAAAGAUUGAGAAGGCAUGGUGCUGAUGAUGAACAUGUGGAGAAGUCAAGAGAAGAUAUUGAUAGGAGGGAAGAAAUGAAACCAAGAAGGCAUGAUGAUUACGAGUAUCAACCUAAGUCAAGAGAAGAUCACUAUAAGAGAGAAGAAAAGAGAUCAAGAAGGCACAAUGAUGAUGACUUCCAGCCAAAUUUGAGAGGAGAACAGGAUAAGAGAGAAGGACAGAAUUCUAGAAUGCGUGAUUAUGAUCAAAUUGAGCCAAAGUCUAGAGAUUUGAAAUCAAGAGAGGUUAAUUAUAGGAGGGAAGAAAAGAGAUCAGGCAGGUAUGAUGAUGAUAAAUAUGAGUCAAAGUCUCGGAAAGAUUAUGAAAGAAGUGAGGAUAGGAGAUCAAGAAUCCCAAAAGCAUGAAUUAGGAUCCUAUCUCGGAGAAAACUAAACAGAGUGGGAUAAAUUGCUAACCGUGGUAGGAUGUCCUCUACCCAUAAUCAAAUGGGAGAGUGAUCGCUGGCAUAAUUGGACGGGCAAGGAUUUUAAAGGAUUCAGAUUGAUACGCUUAACUAGUUUGUCAUGACUUGUAAUCUGUUUAUAUAACAAAGCUCUCCCAAAUUAGUUUGAUAUGAAGCUCUCAAAAAAGUCAACAUUUGGUCAACCAGUGCAGAGAAAGCUGGGAAUUGCAAAAUCUUAAUGAGUUCAACACAAGUCGUUUUG